This is an unclassified non-coding RNA of Cavia porcellus (domestic guinea pig), 108 nucleotides long. It matches the Rfam family "Y RNA". Rfam says of the family: Y RNAs are components of the Ro ribonucleoprotein particle (Ro RNP), in association with Ro60 and La proteins. NCBI's taxonomy places the organism in Eukaryota, Metazoa, Chordata, Mammalia, Rodentia, Caviidae. The record is from Ensembl.
GGCUGGUCCGAUGGCAGUGGGUUAUCAGAACUUCUUAACAUUAGUGUCACUAAAGUUGGUAUACCAUCCCCCCCCCACACACACACUGCUAAAUUUGACUGGCUUAAA